CUUAAAUUGUUGAGAUGAAUUAUUACGUUGAAGGUAUUGGUCAGCGACUAGGUGGAUGGUGUGAACCUAGCUUACCCUCUGCGGAACUUAUCAUUGAGAGUUAGCCGAAUCGAGUAGGUUAAUCGUUGUCCGCGUUAAGGAAACCAAGGGUCCCGGUUUUGCGGGGAAUUUAGGUGGUACCGCGGUUUUUCGUCCUAUAG
Molecule: non-coding RNA, 200 nt
Filed under: Fructilactobacillus florum
Lineage: Bacteria; Bacillati; Bacillota; Bacilli; Lactobacillales; Lactobacillaceae
Description: Lactobacillus florum T-box sequence
Rfam family: T-box leader
About the family: Uncharged tRNA acts as the effector for transcription antitermination of genes in the T-box leader family. T-boxes are found upstream of many aminoacyl-tRNA synthetase genes and some amino acid biosynthetic genes usually in Gram-positive bacteria.
Source: RNAcentral